This 496-nucleotide ribosomal RNA is filed under the name uncultured bacterium. RNAcentral's name for it is "partial 16S ribosomal RNA". It matches the Rfam family "Bacterial small subunit ribosomal RNA", at positions 28 to 506 of the family's 1533-position model. The record is from RNAcentral.
GAUGAACGCUGGCGGCGUGCCUAAUACAUGCAAGUCGAGCGAACGGACGAGAAGCUUGCUUCUCUGAUGUUAGCGGCGGACGGGUGAGUAACACGUGGAUAACCUACCUAUAAGACUGGGAUAACUUCGGGAAACCGGAGCUAAUACCGGAUAAUAUUUUGAACCGCAUGGUUCAAAAGUGAAAGACGGUCUUGCUGUCACUUAUAGAUGGAUCCGCGCUGCAUUAGCUAGUUGGUAAGGUAACGGCUUACCAAGGCAACGAUGCAUAGCCGACCUGAGAGGGUGAUGCGCCACACGGGAAAUGAGACACGGCCCAGACCCCCAGGGGGGGCAGGAGGGGGGAAUUUCCCGAAAGGGGCGAAAGCGUGACGGAGCAACCCCGGGGGGGGGAUGAAGGUCUUCGGAUCGUAAAACUUUUUUAUUAGGGAAAAAAAAUUGUGAAAGUAACUGUGCACAUUUUGAGGGGACCUAACAAAAAAGCCACGGUAAAUUCCGG